UACGUAGGGUGCAAGCGUUAAUCGGAAUUACUGGGCGUAAAGCGUGCGCAGGCGGUUGUGCAAGACCGAUGUGAAAUCCCCGGGCUCAACCUGGGAAUUGCAUUGGUGACUGCACGGCUAGAGUGUGUCAGAGGGGGGUAGAAUUCCACGUGUAGCAGUGAAAUGCGUAGAGAUGUGGAGGAAUACCGAUGGCGAAGGCAGCCCCCUGGGAUAACACUGACGCUCAUGCACGAAAGCGUGGGGAGCAAACAGG
RNAcentral lists this ribosomal RNA (253 nucleotides) under uncultured bacterium. RNAcentral's name for it is "partial 16S ribosomal RNA". It matches the Rfam family "Bacterial small subunit ribosomal RNA", at positions 524 to 776 of the family's 1533-position model. The record is from RNAcentral.